UUUUAAUCUAAAUAAAAUAUCAUUUAAUUAAUAAAGUAGUCUUACUACAUUAAAGAUUUUUUUUAUGAUUAGAAAAAAUAUACUAUAAAUUUUGGCAAAUAAUACCUAUAGAUUAUUAAAAAACAUGUAAACUUUACAUAAAGUAAAAUUAAAAAAUUAAUUUUAUUUUGUUGAAAAGUUUUAAAAUGUUAUUGAUAUGUGUUAUAUUAAACAAAUGCUUUUUACUUAAGUGAUGAUUGUUUGGAUGAUUUUUAUUUUGUAAAUUUAGAAUUUAAAUUUACAUGAUAGACAAAAAAAAUUUGUGGAUUCUUAGUAAUUUGGAAUAGUUACUAUUUUUUUCUUAGUGAUUCUUACUAUUUUUUGGAAUAGCUAUCACUAAUGUAUUUUUGUUGUUUAUACUAUAUUAAUGCAUAGAUGUAGAUAUAUUAAUAAUUCAGCAAAAAGAAAAAGAAUAACAAAUCACGUACAUUCUACAAGGAAUCCAAGAAAAUGUAGUUUUUACUUUUUGCUAGGAAGUAAGUUUUUAUUUCAAAAUCUAGUUUCCCUAAAUUUUAGGAAAUCUAUUUUUCAAAAAUCUUGAUUGGCAAAAAAGAAGUUUUUAGAAAAUCAAAAACCAAAAACCAUUUUAGAAACUACAAACAAUCAACCUCGUAUGUUGAUGAGUUAUCAGAUCUUAAAACUAAAUUAUUGGUGGAAAUGGGUUUGGGUUUUAAAUUAUGUGGCUUCUAAAUGAGAUGAGUUUAAAUAAAGAGGGUUUACAUAAGUUUAGCAUCUAUAAAAUGUAUUUGAAUCUUCUAUACUAUUAAAGCAGAAUACUUCUUAUGAAUCUGCCCCUGAAUUUUUCUACAAAUUACAAAACAUUCCAUUCUAAGAACUUAUCAAUUAUUUUAAAGGCUUUUACGAAAAUGUAAAGCCCACCAAUUCUAUACUAUCGGAAAUUAAAGCCCACCACUUCUAUCCAUUGGUUUUCGAAAUUCAGGUAUAUUUUUUCGUAUUUACAGCCCAUUUAGUACUAUAAGAUUUUCAAUAUCAAAUCAAAUAAAGAGAAGAUCCCCAAUCUUGAGGAACACUCAGAAAAUAUAACUGGAAAUCUCUCUAAUCUUUAAAUAUAGGGAGAUUCGAUUUUCCAAUUCGAGAUCCCCCAACUUUCUCCCCAAGUUUUUCCUAAAACCUAACACCUUGCUUUGGAUCCGAUCAAUACUAUAAAUACGCUUCACCAGUUUCCUGUUCAAAACAAAACCUUCGAACAAACCAAAAAAUAAAGCAAUGGCCACUAAGAAUAUUGCACCUUCGAUGCAAAUCCAAGCAUCGAGAGGUCCUAAAGAAAAAUCUGUCCUCUUCGGCGACUUGAAACCAUGGAAAAACACUUGGUUGGUUCAUGUAAAGGUGCUACACGCUUGGAAACAAUACAUUCAAUCCGUAGAGACCAUGGAAUUCGUCUUGGCUGAUGAGACUGGGCAAAAAAUUCAUGCAACAUGUAAAAAGACUUACAUUGAAAGUAAGGGAAGGAUGCUUACGGUUGGAGCAUGGCGCUACAUCCGGAAUUUCCAGAUUACUCCUGCUGGUGGGGCUUAUCGAACCACAGAUCUUACCUGAAAAAUUGUUUUCAAUCAAAAUACGGCCGAUCUAAUCACGUUAAUGACGAGCUGUAUAUAUAUAAUGAUAGUGAUAAUCCUUUGUAGGUUCUGGCUCCACUUGAUGGUCAGUGAUGAUACAAGCGUCUCGAAAAUAAUGAUCUUAGAUAAGGUUGCUAAUGGGAUUGUUGCUGAAUCUCCAGAGAAGCUGUUGAAUGGAAGCUGGGAUGAGCUUGAAGAUCCGACCUUAAUACCAGAUUGUAUUACUGAUUUGAUUGGCAAAAACUUCACAUUUGGAGUAUAUGUUGAGAAAGAGAAUGUCGCGUAUGGUUCCGAAAUUUAUAAGGUUGGGAAAAUCUAUAAAGAGAGAAUGACUUGCGUUUCUGAUGCAAUCACUCACUGUCAAUCUGAUAAGAAUUUGGCAAUUACUAGUGGUGAUCAGGUUGGAGCAUGUAAAUCUAUAUCAAUAUUUAUUGUGUAUUGUCUAUGGUUUUAUCUUAACAUUAUUGAGUUUAUGUGUGUUCGAUACAGGAUUCUAUCUACUUAAGUGAAAGUCAAAAAAUUUCACAUUUAUAAUUAAAAAUUUCACAUAUACAAUUAAUAAACAUAAACAUAAAUUAGAUAGGAAUGUAAUAGAUGAUAUCAAUACACCCGGUCAUAAUUUAAAUAAUAUUACAAUUCAUUUAAAUAUUUUAAUAAUUUUAUAAGCCAAUGUACACAUUAAUUUUACUAAAAAUAAUUUUAAAGUUAAUAUCUUACUGUAUUUUUCAAUAAAAAAAAUAAUUAUUUCACAAUACUAACAUUUGGUAUAGAUGAAAAAUUAAUGUAAAACAUAAAAACAAAUGCUAACAAAAAUCACUAAGACAUUUGAUAUACAUUUGUUAUAAUAAUAAAUAUGUCAAAUAAAACAAACCCGCGCUUAAUAAUAAAUAUUUCAAAGAAAACAAACCCGCGCUUUGAAAGC
Molecule: long non-coding RNA, 2538 nt
Organism: Brassica napus (rape)
Lineage: Eukaryota; Viridiplantae; Streptophyta; Magnoliopsida; Brassicales; Brassicaceae
Exons: 3
Source: RefSeq, a predicted model, not a curated record